AUUGAACGCUGGCGGCAUGCUUUACACAUGCAAGUCGAACGGCAGCACGGACUUCGGUCUGGUGGCGAGUGGCGAACGGGUGAGUAAUACAUCGGAACGUGCCCAGUUGUGGGGGAUAACUACUCGAAAGAGUAGCUAAUACCGCAUGAGAACUGAGGUUGAAAGCAGGGGAUCGUAAGACCUUGCGCAACUGGAGCGGCCGAUGGCAGAUUAGGUAGUUGGUGGGAUAAAAGCUUACCAAGCCGACGAUCUGUAGCUGGUAUGAGAGGACGACCAGCCAACCUGGGACUGGGACCCGGCCCAGACUCCUACGGGAGGCAGCAGUGGGGAAUUUUGGACAAUGGGCGAAAGCCUGAUCCAGCAAUGCCGCGUGCAGGAUGAAGGCCUUCGGGUUGUAAACUGCUUUUGUACGGAACGAAAAGCUUCGGGUUAAUACCCUGGAGUCAUGACGGUACCGUAAGAAUAAGCACCGGCUAACUACGUGCCAGCAGCCGCCGUAA
RNAcentral lists this ribosomal RNA (500 nucleotides) under uncultured bacterium. Its description in RNAcentral is "partial 16S ribosomal RNA". It matches the Rfam family "Bacterial small subunit ribosomal RNA", at positions 30 to 523 of the family's 1533-position model. The record is from RNAcentral.